This 497-nucleotide ribosomal RNA is filed under the name uncultured bacterium. RNAcentral describes it as "bacterial SSU rRNA". It matches the Rfam family "Bacterial small subunit ribosomal RNA", at positions 28 to 521 of the family's 1533-position model. The record is from RNAcentral.
GAUGAACGCUAGCGGCAGGCCUAACACAUGCAAGUCGAGGGGUAACAGGGAGCUUGCUCUGCUGACGACCGGCGCACGGGUGCGUAACGCGUAUACAAUCUGCCCCUUACUAAGGAAUAGCCCAGGGAAACUUGGAUUAAUGCCUUAUAGUAUCGAGAGAUGGCAUCAUUUUCGAUUAAAGGUUACGGUGAGGGAUGAGUAUGCGUCCUAUUAGCUUGUUGGUGUGGUAACGGCACACCAAGGCAACGAUAGGUAGGGGCCCUGAGAGGGGGAUCCCCCACACUGGUACUGAGACACGGACCAGACUCCUACGGGAGGCAGCAGUGAGGAAUAUUGGACAAUGGGCGAGAGCCUGAUCCAGCCAUGCCGCGUGCAGGAAGACUGCCCUAUGGGUUGUAAACUGUCUUUUGUACGGGAAGAAACCACCCCCACGUGGUGGGGUCGUUGACGGUACCGUAAGAAUAAGCAUCGGCUAACUCCGUGCCAGCAGCCGCGGU